This 1142-nucleotide long non-coding RNA is filed under the name Homo sapiens (human). Its description in RNAcentral is "HSALNT0096926". Lineage: Eukaryota; Metazoa; Chordata; Mammalia; Primates; Hominidae. The record is from RNAcentral.
GCCCAUUCAAACAACAAGAUUCAACAGAAACUUCUUCCCUCUGGUGAGAAGUCAGCUUCCCGGCAUCGCUGCAGUGAGCCUGGAGCCCUGAGAACAGGCCCCCAGUCAUUAUCCUAACAAGGUAGAGGAAAACUUUUCCCUGCCCCGUCUCCACCUGCUCAUCUAAGCUUCCAUGACUCCAACAUUCUACACAAGUCUAUGAUUUACCUAAGAACUAAAUUCUACUUCAUUUUCUUCAAGGCAGAAAGAAGCCAGCAAAGAACCUGGGGCCCUUUAAAACCCACCCUGAUUGCUUGGAAUUGGAGGGAUUUGCCAAUGAAAUCUCAAGGAUCCUGGCUGCAUUUCUGCCCUGUCAGCACCCCCGGUGUUAUCGGAAAAGGGGGUCCUGAUACAGAACUCAAGAGAGGGUUCUUGGACCUCACACAACAAAGAGUUUGGGGAGAGUCCAUAAAGUGAAAGCAAGUUUAUUAAGGAAAUAAAGGAAUAAAAGAACGGCUACUCCAUAGGCAGAGCAGCAGCUUGGGCUGCUGGACUAAGGAUACUUAUUGCUUGAUUAUAUGCUAAACAGGGGGUGAAUUAUUCAUGAUUUUUCAGGAAAGGGGUGGGCAAUUUCCGGAGCUGAGGGUUCCCCCUCUUUUAGACCAUAUAGGGUAACUUCCUGAUGUUGCCGUGGCAUUUGUAAACUGUCGUGGCACUGGUGGGAGUGUCUUUUAGCAUGCUACUGCAUUGUAAUUAGUGUAUAAUGAGUGGUGAGGAUGACCAGAGGUCACUUUCAUGACCAUCUUGGUUUUGUUGAGUUUUGGCCGGUGUCUUUACUGCAACCUGUUUUAUCAGCAAGGUCUUUUAUGACCUGUAUCUUGUGCCGACCUCCUAUCUCAUCAACGCGUGACUAAGGAUGCCUUAACUUUUUGGGAAUGCAGCCCAGUAGGUCUCAGCAUUAUUUUACUCAGCUCCUGUUCAAGAUGGAGUCGCUCUGGUUUGAAUGCCUCUGACAACAGCAUAUACCCUAGGGAAACUUGAUUUCUAGAGCACAAACCCGCAAAGAGAAUGCCAUGGGUCCUAGUAGUGUCCUUCAUUCAUCUGUCAAUUCAAUGCAAAUGUAUGGAACACCAACUGUUUUCAAAGAUGAAGUUCUUAUCCUC